RNAcentral lists this long non-coding RNA (1237 nucleotides) under Homo sapiens (human). RNAcentral describes it as "HSALNT0254996". The record is from RNAcentral. Lineage: Eukaryota; Metazoa; Chordata; Mammalia; Primates; Hominidae.
GUUUCACCAUGUUGGUCAGGUUAGUCUUGAACUCCUGACCUCAGGUGAUCCACCCGCUUUGGCCUCCCCAAGUGCUGGGAUUACAGGCGUGAGCCACCACACCUGACCAAUUUUUAUAUUUUUUGUAGAGACGAUGUCUCAUCAUGUUGCCCAGGCUGGUCUUGAACUCCUGGGCUCAAGCGAGCCUCCUGCCUUGGCUUCCCAAAGUGCUGGGAUUACAGGCAUGAGCCACUGCGCCUGGCUGCAAGUAAUACCCUUAUCCCCACUGCAUGAAUGGGAAACAGGUCCAGAGGUGGGAAGUGACUUGUCCAAGGUCAUAGAGCCAGCAUUUGAAUGCUGGUGGUAGGAGGGGGAGACAGGCAGGAAACCUACCCGGGCCCCGGACCUCUCUGGACCCCCUCCACCCUGCUUGCCCACACAUUCAAGUCUUGGAGUGGUGUGACUCAGUUUCCCCAUUGGAUUGGAACAAGUCUUGGGCUGUGGUGGUCUGUUUCUACCAAGGGCCUAGCCCCAGCAUGGCCUGGUCACAGGACCCCCUGGAGGCCUUGGAGCUUCAGACUCUCCCCACCUAGAGCUCUGGUGGAGGGCAGGAAAUCGGGGGGCCAUUGGCGGAGGGGGCCCAGCAGGCAGGGCUGAUUAGCAGCCAUGAACAAUGGGCCUCUCUGUUCUCGGGGGCCACCUAACUGGUUUGUCUCUGGCACGGACGCGACCAGGUGGGGGUGAUGUGGGUGUGGCGGAGGGCACGGGGAGGGGGCUGGGUGUGCACAAUGCGUGUUCCUGUGUCCCGGAGGCCCUAACCUAGGGAGGCAUCUGUACCUGUCCAACUGCAUAGAGACACACAUUUGUAGGUACAGGAGUGCCCACUGUCAUUUGCAAUCUAGCUCAGGUUAUCAUCUGUGCCCUGAGACCCCUCAUCCUGGCCACACACACAGGGGUACACAGCACACUGUCAGGCUUACACUUGUGUGCCCACUCACACUCAUUCACACCCAGCCAUCUCAUAUCCUCACACUCAGGUUCUUUCAUACUCGUAUACACACACUCACACACUCACACACUGCCCACACACGAUCACACUCACAUGCUCAAGCAUUCUCACUCGAGCACACUUGCGUGCUCAAACGCUCCCACAUUUGGCUGGGUGCAGUGGCUCACACCUGUAAUCCCAGCACUUUGGGAGGCUGAGGCGGUUGGAUCACCUGAGGUCAGGAGUUCGAGACCAACCUGGCCAACAUGG